This 253-nucleotide ribosomal RNA is filed under the name uncultured bacterium. RNAcentral describes it as "partial 16S ribosomal RNA". It matches the Rfam family "Bacterial small subunit ribosomal RNA", at positions 524 to 776 of the family's 1533-position model. The record is from RNAcentral.
UACGUAGGGGGCAAGCGUUGUCCGGAUUCAUUGGGCGUAAAGCACGUGUAGGCGGCCAGGUAGGUCCGACGUGAAAACUGGAGGCUCAACCUCCAGCUGUCGUUGGAAACCAUCUGGCUAGAGUCCGGAAGAGGAGAGUGGAAUUCCUGGUGUAGCGGUGAAAUGCGCAGAUAUCAGGAAGAACACCAAUGGCGAAGGCAGCUCUCUGGGACGGUACUGACGCUGAGACGCGAAAGCGUGGGGAGCGAACAGG